This 1372-nucleotide long non-coding RNA is filed under the name Cyanistes caeruleus (blue tit). RNAcentral describes it as "lncRNA (ENSCCEG00000014657.1)". Lineage: Eukaryota; Metazoa; Chordata; Aves; Passeriformes; Paridae. The record is from RNAcentral.
CACAGGGCGUGGAUGCUCCGGCAGCCUCGCGGAGCUUUUGGGGCGGUCUGAGCAGCUGGCGGGGCCUGGGCAGCGCUGCAGGAGCUGCGGUAGGAGACAGGAAGGGCGGUGGGAGCUUUGCAGGCCGCUGGUGCGAGGAGGGGCUGUGGGAAGCUCUGUGAUGGGCCGGAGAGAAGGGCUGGGGUACCAGGCUGAGGUGACCCAUGACAGUGCUCAACUCCUGCACCUCAGCCACUCCCCAGGGCCAGAGGAGGAGGAGGUGCGUGCAGGGGAGCUGCGUUCCCUCCAGGCAGCAGCUCCCUCUGCCCUGUGCACGAAGCCUCCAUGGACCGAUGGACCAGACGUGUGCUCAGCAUCUUCCCCCGCGUUGCUAAGAGACGGGAUCCCACGGGAUGCUGCCGGUGCUGAGCCCGGCACAUCGGCAGGAGAUCCCCUGGCCGAGGGGAGGAUGAUGUGGGAGAUGGCACAAAAGGCUGCAACAAGGCACCGUGGGAGAGAAAGCCCCACACUUGUCAGGGAAACCUCUGCAGUGGGGACAAAAGGGUCAAGGCCAGGAGGAGGAAGAGCUCAGCAUCAGCAGGAUGAGGAUAAUCUGGAGAGAGGUCUCUGGAGGGUUUCAGGUGGCCACCCUUCCUGUCAUGCAAUUUAAGAUUUUACAAACAUCGCCUGUUGUGAUGCUGGCAGCACGGAGGAGACCCCAGGAGAGAGCAGAAGGAAGCACAAAACAGGAGAGACCGACCAUGCUGCUCUGAAUCCUUUGGCAUUCCCUGGCUGAGAACCCCAUGCAAGUGCAAACAUCAAGUUUAAAGUCCUGGGCUCCCCUCUCAAAGCAAAUUAGGGGAUGGCUGCUCCAAGCAGGCAGCUCUCCCAGGCCUUUACAUCCCCACUGGGUUCCCCAAGCAGUCCUUGGUGAUGCUGCUGGUGGGGGGCAGGGGGUGCCACAGUCAGAGCUGAUUUCAGCCUGGAGCUGGGCAGGACUGUGGUGGUGGCUGGUGGAGGGAUGGAGCCCUGUCUGUCACCAAAACACAGGAGCCCUUCCUUAGUUUGUUGAACCUUCACCCCAAAUUUUGGUAUUUUUGGUAUUAUAGGUAAUUUAAAGCCAUGGACUCCUCUGGUGUCCUGCUAGAUGACAAAACCUUGUUUUGUUUGUAAUUCUCCCCCAGCUCGUUACCCUUCUGUGCCCCCACCCACACCAGGAUGUUUUCCUUUCCCUGGGAGCCCCUGUCCCUGUUGCCCUGGGAAGUGUUCAGCAUUUUGCAUUGCAGAGCUGCUGGAAACACAGAGUCUUUGUCCAGAGAUCACCUUGAACUGAGGCCCAGCUGGGUUAACACUUAUAUUCCAAAGUUGCUUCCAAUCAGGGGGAUCAUCUGAG